This 629-nucleotide ribosomal RNA is filed under the name uncultured bacterium. RNAcentral describes it as "bacterial SSU rRNA". It matches the Rfam family "Bacterial small subunit ribosomal RNA", at positions 28 to 646 of the family's 1533-position model. The record is from RNAcentral.
AUUGAACGCUGGCGGCAGGCCUAACACAUGCAAGUCGAACGGUAGCACAGAGGAGCUUGCUCCUUGGGUGACGAGUGGCGGACGGGUGAGUAAUGUCUGGGAAACUGCCCGAUGGAGGGGGAUAACUACUGGAAACGGUAGCUAAUACCGCAUAACGUCGCAAGACCAAAGAGGGGGACCUUCGGGCCUCUUGCCAUCGGAUGUGCCCAGAUGGGAUUAGCUAGUAGGUGGGGUAACGGCUCACCUAGGCGACGAUCCCUAGCUGGUCUGAGAGGAUGACCAGCCACACUGGAACUGAGACACGGUCCAGACUCCUACGGGAGGCAGCAGUGGGGAAUAUUGCACAAUGGGCGCAAGCCUGAUGCAGCCAUGCCGCGUGUAUGAAGAAGGCCUUCGGGUUGUAAAGUACUUUCAGCGAGGAGGAAGGUGUUGUGGUUAAUAACCGCAGCAAUUGACGUUACUCGCAGAAGAAGCACCGGCUAACUCCGUGCCAGCAGCCGCGGUAAUACGGAGGGUGCAAGCGUUAAUCGGAAUUACUGGGCGUAAAGCGCACGCAGGCGGUCUGUCAAGUCGGAUGUGAAAUCCCCGGGCUCAACCUGGGAACUGCAUCCGAAACUGGCAGGCUAGAG